CUGGUCUUUGUGGGUGUUGCUCCUACCUGAAGAGACUUCAUCCUCACUGUUAUAGUCCGAAAUGCUCUGCAAGACCCAAUCUUGAGAGACACAAACACAGACAGAAGCUGGAAUCAGGUUGGCUCUCCAGAAGAGAACCGGCAGGACGGUCCCAGUGUCUCAUCCCUUCAGUUGUUCCUCAGCACCUGAGGCAUUCUAGAAUACGUACAGUGUCCACUGGAUCCUGAGUCCACCUGCAGUCAGAGAAAGGAAGUCACUGUGAGAUCAGAUACUGUUUGUACAGGUCUCUCCUCCUGGUGCUGACCUUGGGAAACUUGAUGGGAUACAGUGCAUGAGGCAAAUGCCCUAAAUAAAGCACAGAGGAUACUUGUGUGAAA
Oryctolagus cuniculus (rabbit) is the source of this 377-nucleotide non-coding RNA. The record is from RefSeq and is a predicted model, not a curated record. NCBI's taxonomy places the organism in Eukaryota, Metazoa, Chordata, Mammalia, Lagomorpha, Leporidae.